GCAUUGCUGAAGAGUCCCACAACAGGACGAAACGGCCGUCCAGUGC
This is a non-coding RNA of Schistosoma curassoni, 46 nucleotides long. Lineage: Eukaryota; Metazoa; Platyhelminthes; Trematoda; Strigeidida; Schistosomatidae. The record is from Rfam.